GCUGAGAUUAGGCUAACAUUAGCAGCAGUUUACACUCCAGCUAGUACCUUAAAACUGCAACUGAAACAAGCAUAAAAGCUAACAAGCCAAAGGGUUGUGUUAGAAGAAAAAAUAACAGUAUGAUUUUGCAUUUUUCCUAAGCAUACAAGUGAUUGGAGUCAGCUGGAAACAUCCAAGUACAACAUUAGCUUAAAUAGCUAGCUAGCUAUAUGGCUGUUUAAUCCACCAGCAACAGUCUUUUCAGCUGGCAAAACUGAGAAUUGCUGACAAGAAAUGAGACGCCAGCUUUUGUCUGCCUCUGUAUACAAUCCAGGAUCCAUUGUUUCAAAAAUUACUAAGAAUUUUGAGUGAUUAAUAUGCCACCUUUUUCAGGAUCUAAAGGCUAAGGUCAUUUGAGGAUCUGGAUAAUCAAACUUCUGUAGCUGGACAGAAACUGUACACCCGCAGUUUACACUGAAACAAACUCUUGGUGUUUCCUAAAUAACAUGGAGAGGCGCCACAGAGACGGAUGUGAGAACAGCAGGGGAGCAGAUAGAGAAUAGGUUUCAAAGACAUCAUAUCCUCGGAGCUCUAACCCAAAUGUAGCAGCAGUGGAAAAGGCUUGAGGUUGUCGUGCCGGUGGG
This is a long non-coding RNA of Thunnus maccoyii (southern bluefin tuna), 623 nucleotides long. RefSeq lists it as uncharacterized. The record is from RefSeq and is a predicted model, not a curated record. Lineage: Eukaryota; Metazoa; Chordata; Actinopteri; Scombriformes; Scombridae. The transcript has 4 exons.